GGGCCCGGGGCCUGGAGGCUGUACGCUGAGAGCGCGCAGUUUGGGGCGACCCCAACCCCUCGGGCCUGAGACGGUCCCGCGGGGCCCCACAAGGGAGGGGGCGCGACGCCGAUGGCCCCAGAGGACCCUGCGCUGCGUCUUGCUCUGAACCUCCGUCGCGGACACUUUUAAUCCACAAAAUGAGGCCAAGAACGACCUUUCCCUGGCCACCAGGCAAACUGCAUGAAAGCGAGCGGGCGUUGCCGCUGGCGCCCACGCUGGGUUUUUCCCAGGCGGGGUUCGCCCUGGGAACCGCAGAUCGCUCCAGCACAGCGCCUGCUGCGCCCCUAGUAACAGCGUCAGAGAGUCCGGGGUUCCCCUGAUUGCGGGCCACGCUGACACAGGGCUUCCCACUCCCUGACCUUAGGUUUUCCUGCCUGGGAAAUGGGGGUUAUGAGGGCACAGACUGCUGGAGGGGCUGGGGGAGGCACAAAGGGGAUGAACGUGCGCUGACUCAUGGGCCCAUCUGUGCCACCUGUGGCAGGGGGUGGGCUGGGGGCAGCACAGUGCCCAGAGCCCUGGCCAGAUGCUAGGCGGGCCCCCACCUGUUGUAUGAUUGAAGUGGUUGUUUGGUCUCUGUUUCUCCAUAUGUUCAUUCCUCAGCACUUUGCCCAUCUGGGGGCCUGGGGGUCGAGAGCAUGUGGCGGCCACCCUGGGAGGCCAGGGGAGUUCAUCCUGACCACAGCAUAGUCAGCUUGCGGCAGUAUGGCCACUCUAUUUCCAGAAGGGCAGUGGAAGGAAGGCCAGCUCAGACCCCAGGCUCUGUCCAGUCAGGCUGCCACCGGGACAGGAGGUAGGAGUGAGUGGGCAUGGGCAGGGCAGCAGGAUUGCGCUUGCCCUGAUCCUCCAAACGGGGUCAUCCCAUGAAGGAGGAGCUGUCGUGGGCCCACUUCACAGCAGAGAAACUGAGGCUCAGGCUGUCACUGCCCCAGCUCUGCCUCAGAGGGGAUCUGCAGGACAGGGUCUGGCACGGUGGCCCACGACGGGGAUGGUUGCUGUUGUCCUCGCAUAAUCAGGGCACUGUUGGCACACCUGAGUGUUCACCAGCAGCUGGAAAUCCAGCACCAUUCACACAAAAAACUCUCUCACAGUAUGGGACAAAUCCCUAUUCUGGGGGAUAGUGCCUGCCCACGAGGGCUCAAUUCCUGGAGGGGCAGGAGGUGUGGGACCACAGAGAAAAUACGUCACACCCAGAAAGGGCCCUGGGAGCUGCAGGGGAGCCCUGAGACCUUGGAAGGCCAAGGGCGUGUAGAGAGGCCCCGAAGUAGGAGGGCUUGGCAGGUGGAGACCCCGUCCUGAGAGUAUUCUUUCCUUUGUGCCAUGUGGGAGCUCCUGCAGUGUGGUUCAUCAUUCCCAUCCUUUUUUUUUUU
This 1409-nucleotide long non-coding RNA is filed under the name Homo sapiens (human). Its description in RNAcentral is "HSALNT0353703". The record is from RNAcentral. Lineage: Eukaryota; Metazoa; Chordata; Mammalia; Primates; Hominidae.